This 149-nucleotide small nucleolar RNA is filed under the name Clupea harengus (Atlantic herring). Lineage: Eukaryota; Metazoa; Chordata; Actinopteri; Clupeiformes; Clupeidae. The record is from RNAcentral.
CUUCAGUGAUGAUUCGAUGACGAGUCGGAAAUGGACUCUGUCUCUACUGUGGUGUCUGGCUUAGGGUCACGUUUUGUGCCUUUGAGUCUAGUCCUCAGUGGAAAGGUGUUCUGCUCAGUUGAAGACAUAGAGGCAUUUGUCUGAGAAGG